This is a long non-coding RNA of Drosophila pseudoobscura, 472 nucleotides long. RefSeq lists it as uncharacterized. The transcript has 2 exons. The record is from RefSeq and is a predicted model, not a curated record. NCBI's taxonomy places the organism in Eukaryota, Metazoa, Arthropoda, Insecta, Diptera, Drosophilidae.
CCCAAAUAAUUUUAGCCCAUUGAUGAAUAAAUUUUCUACACAUUUGGUUAGUCUUUAGUCCUUGCUUUUACUGUAAGGUUUCAAGAAGUUUCUUGAAGUCAUCGAUGUCAGCUGCGUCUGUUCCCGUUCAACCAGAGAGACCAUUAACGAGAAUCCUCAAAAAACACUCAUUGAUGUCAGAACCGAAAGAAGCUAGCGACACUGAAGAGAUCUCCGUCAUCAUCAACAAUCCACCAAAAUCGCCGCUCAGUUCUAUAACAAAUUUGGAGACCAGGAACCCUCGAUUCAUACUCAAAUCAUUUUCUCAUGUCGCUCCGGCAAGAGAGCUAGGGAAUCCACUCUUCACCCAAAAGUGAAGAUCUACGAAGGCUCCUUCAAUGAUUGGCAGAAGCAUGAGCAGCAAUAAGCUCUUAACAAUUAACAACAAAUCUCUGUUUUCAUUGGGAAUAAAUCAACAAUUUAUUAAACCAAA